RNAcentral lists this ribosomal RNA (520 nucleotides) under uncultured Glomus. RNAcentral's name for it is "SSU rRNA". It matches the Rfam family "Eukaryotic small subunit ribosomal RNA", at positions 569 to 1091 of the family's 1831-position model. Lineage: Eukaryota; Fungi; Glomeromycota; Glomeromycetes; Glomerales; Glomeraceae. The record is from RNAcentral.
AGCAGCCGCGGUAAUUCCAGCUCCAAUAGCGUAUAUUAAAGUUGUUGCAGUUAAAAAGCCCGUAGUUGAAUUUCGGGAUCAAUUUGCUGGUCGUGCCUUCGGUACGCACUGGUAUUAUUGGUUUCUCCUUUCUGAUGAAUCGCGAUGUCAUUAAUUUGGUGUCGUGGGGAAUCAGGACCGUUACUUUGAAAAAAUUAGAGUGUUUAAAGCAGGCUCACGCUUGAAUACAUUAGCAUGGAAUAAUGAAAUAGGACGUUUGAUUCUAUUUUGUUGGUUUCUAGGAUCGACGUAAUGAUUAAUAGGGAUAGUUGGGGGCAUUAGUAUUCAAUUGUCAGAGGUGAAAUUCUUGGAUUUAUUGAAGACUAACUACUGCGAAAGCAUUUGCCAAGGAUGUUUUCAUUAAUCAAGAACGAAAGUUAGGGGAUCGAAGACGAUCAGAUACCGUCGUAGUCUUAACCAUAAACUAUGCCGACUAGGGAUCGGAUGAUGUUAAUUUUUAAUGACUCAUUCGGCGCCUUAA